GGGGACUUAGCUCAGUGGUAGAGCGCUUGCCUAGGAAGCGCAAGGUCCUGGGUUCGGUCCCCAGCUCCG
Rattus norvegicus (Norway rat) is the source of this 69-nucleotide non-coding RNA. Lineage: Eukaryota; Metazoa; Chordata; Mammalia; Rodentia; Muridae. The record is from Rfam.